Molecule: long non-coding RNA, 388 nt
Filed under: Brassica rapa (field mustard)
Lineage: Eukaryota; Viridiplantae; Streptophyta; Magnoliopsida; Brassicales; Brassicaceae
Description: long non-coding RNA (BRAP_LNC004751)
Source: RNAcentral
AGAAGGUGGACGCAGAUCCCUCAACCUUGGAGAAGGUGUUGGAAGACUUGAAAUCUGACGAAUCAAACCGUAACAAAAUCAAUUUCAUCCUCUUCCUCGCCAACAAUGAUCCCACCACCAACCGCAGCUGGUGUCCUGGUCCGUUUCUGUUUUUCAUUUUUUUUUUCAUUUUUUUUUUCGAUUUCAUCUCUUUUUUAUUUAUUUUUUGAUUAUAAUAAUCAGAUUGCGUUAGAGCUGAGCCUGUGAUAUACAAGACUCUAGAGGAAUCAGCGGAGGAAGUGAAUGUUAUCCGGGCUUACGCCGGAGAUAGGCCGACGUGGAGGAAUCCGAUGCAUCCGUGGAGAGUCGAUCCUCGAUUCAAGGUCACUGGAGUGCCAACACUUGUUCG